AUACGAAGGGGGCUAGCGUUGUUCGGAUUUACUGGGCGUAAAGCGCACGUAGGCGGAUUGAUUAGUUAGGGGUGAAAUCCCGAGGCUCAACCUCGGAACUGCCUUUAGUACUGUCAAUCUCGAGACCGGAAGAGGUGAGUGGAACUCCUAGUGUAGAGGUGGAAUUCGUAGAUAUUAGGAAGAACACCAGUGGCGAAGGCGGCUCACUGGUCCGGUACUGACGCUGAGGUGCGAAAGCGUGGGGAGCGAACAGGAUUAGAAACCCUAGUAGUCC
RNAcentral lists this ribosomal RNA (274 nucleotides) under uncultured bacterium. RNAcentral describes it as "partial 16S ribosomal RNA". It matches the Rfam family "Bacterial small subunit ribosomal RNA", at positions 523 to 796 of the family's 1533-position model. The record is from RNAcentral.